UGGCAGGGUAGCCUAGUGGUUAGAGCGUUGGGACUAGAUCUGGUAUGUGGCAGGGUAGCCUAGUGGUUAGAGCGUUGGGACUAGAUCUGGUAUGUGGCAGGGUAGCCUAGUGGUUAGAGCGUUGGGACUAGAUCUGGUAUGUGGCAGGGUAGCCUAGUGGUUAGAGCGUUGGGACUAGAUCCGGUAUGCAGCAGAGUGAUAAGGAGAAAACACUGUACAGAAAUAUACUUUUUGGCCUAAAUGCAAAGCCUUAUGUUUGGGGGAAAAUACAACACAGUGUACCUGACCGCCUCCUUAUAUUCAAGCAUGCUGGUGGCUGCAUCAGGUUAUGGGUAUGCGUGACAUCGGCAAAUACUGAGGAGGUUUUCAGGAUAAAAAAGAAAGUAGGUGGAGCAAAGCACGGUCAAACUCAGAGAGGACAUCCUGCUUUCAGUGUGCUUUCCACCAGACACUGAGAGAUGAUUUCACCCAUUCAGAAGGACAUUGACCUAAAACACAAGGCCAAAUCUACACUGGAGUUGCUUAUCAAGGAGGCUGGGAAUGGUCCUGAGUGGGCAACUUACAGUUUAGAUUUAAAUCUGCUUGAAAAUCUAUGGCAAGACUUGAAAAGGGCUGUCGAGCCAUGAUCCCCAACACCUUGGCAGAGCUUGAAGAAUUUUGAAAAGGAUAAUGGGCAAUUACUGUACAAUCAAGGUGUGCAAAGCUCUUCGAGACUUACCGAGAAGACUCACAGAUGUAAUUGCUGCCAAAAGGGGUUUAUAACAUAUAUCGACUCAGGGAGCUGAAUACUUAUGCCGUCUUAAAUGUAAAAAAAAAUAUAUUUAAAAAAUCCACGUUGACAGAAAAGUACAAUUAAAUCCAUUUUAAUUCCACUUUGUGAAACAAUAAAAUGAAUAGUUUUGCAAGGCACUGUUUCUGCCUUGCUCUGUGUCACAACAUGUAACAUGACAGGUGCCCUAUUAGGUGGCUACCAAUGGUCAUCCUUUUUCUAUGCAUUUCCUUAUUACUUUGACUGACUUGUGUACACAGACUGUGCAAAAACACACACACACAACGUGAUAUAUAUAUAUACAUAUAUAUACACACACAUAUGUGCACAAAUUAAUGAUGACGGUUUGAUUUAUGAUUAUGACAGAAUUGAGUGUGAGGAUUUAUUUUUAUUUUUUCUUAUUGGUUUCAAAAUAAUUUUCCUAACGAGCCUGGUCCUGAAAGUGGCCGUGGUUUCACACGUGGCAGGACGUGUCGUUGCCAAGACGACAGAGAUGCAGAAACGAGUCGUAGACCAGGAGGGAAGACAUGCAGGUGCUGUACCAGACAUGAUUUACUUUGUCCUCAUUGUCAUUCUUAUUGGGUUUUGUUUUGGAAGUUGCAGGAAAUAACGUGCACUAUGAUUUAUUUUACAUUUUAUUUACAGUGACGCACUACAGUCUGAGAUAUCACCUUAUUGAAUUUAUUACAGAAUCUUAGUGGCCAUGGUUACAGAUGCCUUGGGAAUUAAAAUAAUGGUUCGUCAUUGUUUAUUAUUCAGCCAUUUUUGUUUAUAUAUAUAUCAAUGUACAAAAUAUUUUUGUUUUUAAUAUUUAUUACUGUGAACAUAGUAUUUACAUUUUCUUACUUUUUUUUUCAUUUAUGGGACAAAUGUUAUAUAAAUGUAUCACGGGCCAUCGGUUGGAAAAACAAGAUGGUGAAUUUCUGAUGGACUGUUUCCCGAUUUAACUUAAUUCUUUUUCUAUAUUGAGAAAUAAAGAGCGUUUGAUUUACA
This is a long non-coding RNA of Oncorhynchus masou masou (cherry salmon), 1762 nucleotides long. RefSeq lists it as uncharacterized. Lineage: Eukaryota; Metazoa; Chordata; Actinopteri; Salmoniformes; Salmonidae. The record is from RefSeq and is a predicted model, not a curated record. The transcript is spliced from 2 exons.